CAAGUUGAUGAAAUAAAAUUUAUAAGUAAAUAUUUUGAUUAUCAAAUCGUCAAGCAUUUGAAGAAAAUUUGCACAAAGUUGGUUGUUGCUAGGCAUAUGCGAAGACUAAUUAAAAAUGAAGAAGGUGAACUUUAAUGCGUUACUUUUUGAAUGUGUAAAAGUAGAAGGCUUCACCGAAUCGGAUGUGUCCACCAAGCUCAAAAAAAACAACAGACUCGCCAAUGGCCCUUUUUUAAGUCUCAUUGCUUGGAAAACUAAGGGACUCAGCCACAAAAUUUAAA
Molecule: long non-coding RNA, 281 nt
Organism: Bactrocera latifrons
Lineage: Eukaryota; Metazoa; Arthropoda; Insecta; Diptera; Tephritidae
Exons: 3
Source: RefSeq, a predicted model, not a curated record